AAGUCGUAACAAGGUUUCCGUAGGUGAACCUGCGGAAGGAUCAUUACCGAGUUAGGGUACUCUUCGUGCCCGACCUCCAACCCUUUGUCUACCUGACCAGAUGUUGCUUCGGCAGGCCCGCCGCCCCGCGAGGGGCAGCCGCCGGGGGUCCUUACCGGCCCCGGGUCCGUGCCUGUCGAUGGCCCUUCUAAAACUCUUGCUUAAACGUGUCGUCUGAGUAAAACAAACAAAAUAAAAACAAAACUUUCAACAACGGAUCUCUUGGUUCUG
This 270-nucleotide unclassified non-coding RNA is filed under the name uncultured Cyphellophora. Its description in RNAcentral is "sequence contains ITS1". The stretch from base 1 to 46 matches the Rfam family "Eukaryotic small subunit ribosomal RNA", at positions 1786 to 1831 of the family's 1831-position model. Lineage: Eukaryota; Fungi; Ascomycota; Eurotiomycetes; Chaetothyriales; Herpotrichiellaceae. The record is from RNAcentral.